GAUGAAGAACGUAGUGAAAUGCGAUAAGUAAUGUGAAUUGCAGAAUUCAGUGAAUCAUCGAAUCUUUGAACGCACAUUGCGCCCGCCAGUAUUCUGGCGGGCAUGCCUGUUCGAGCGUCAUUUCAACCAUCAAGCCCCCGGCUUGUGUUGGGGACCUGCGGCUGCCGCAGGCCCUGAAAACCAGUGGCGGGCUCGCUGUCACACCGAGCGUAGUAGAUUUUCAUCUCGCUCAGGGCGUGCUGCGGGUUCCGGCCGUAAAAAGCCUUAUUUACCCAAGGUUGACCUCGGAUCAGGUAGGAAGACCCGCUGAACUUAAGCAUAUCAAUAAGCGGAGGA
RNAcentral lists this unclassified non-coding RNA (336 nucleotides) under soil metagenome. RNAcentral describes it as "partial contains 5.8S ribosomal RNA, internal transcribed spacer 2, and large subunit ribosomal RNA". The stretch from base 1 to 120 matches the Rfam family "5.8S ribosomal RNA", at positions 35 to 154 of the family's 154-position model. The record is from RNAcentral.